CUGGCUCAGGACGAACGCUGGCGGCGUGCCUAAUACAUGCAAGUCGAGCGAACAGAGAAGGAGCUUGCUCCUUCGACGUUAGCGGCGGACGGGUGAGUAACACGUGGGCAACCUACCUUAUAGUUUGGGAUAACUCCGGGAAACCGGG
RNAcentral lists this ribosomal RNA (148 nucleotides) under Lysinibacillus fusiformis. RNAcentral's name for it is "16S rRNA. Bacterial SSU". It matches the Rfam family "Bacterial small subunit ribosomal RNA", at positions 19 to 161 of the family's 1533-position model. Lineage: Bacteria; Bacillati; Bacillota; Bacilli; Caryophanales; Bacillaceae. The record is from RNAcentral.